This is a long non-coding RNA of Tupaia belangeri chinensis (Chinese tree shrew), 437 nucleotides long. RefSeq lists it as uncharacterized. The transcript has 3 exons. Lineage: Eukaryota; Metazoa; Chordata; Mammalia; Scandentia; Tupaiidae. The record is from RefSeq and is a predicted model, not a curated record.
GAAACACACAGGCUCCCUACCCCCACGCCUCCCCAUAUAGGUGUCGCUGCUGUACGCAAAGUGAGACUCUUGUGAAUCACAGAGCUGGUGUGGUGACAACCCAGAAGCCACUAGGAAGCAAGUGGCUUGAUAUGGAAAUGGACCAACACCAUAUAUCCCUAAUCUGAGAGGCAGCCGGUGCUAAAAAGGCCAGCUAUGGUGCCCCAUCACUCAUUUCAGAAUUUGAACCAGGAAUACUGAAGUAUCUAAAGCAAAGAAUCAAGCAAUGGGAUCUUUUGAUGCUGGAUAUAAAAGAGAAUUCUACCAGUCAGCACUGCUCAACACACCUUGGGAGAUACAGAACACAAGAGCUUAGCUCCUCAUUGAUAAAACAAGUCUAGCACAACCAGAAACAACCUGUAGAGGAAAACUAUGUAAGAACUUGCUAUAAAGUAUCU